UGACAAUGGAAAUGCAGUGGCUUAUAAC
RNAcentral lists this small RNA (28 nucleotides) under Bombyx mori (domestic silkworm). RNAcentral's name for it is "ovarian small RNA-31321". The record is from RNAcentral. Lineage: Eukaryota; Metazoa; Arthropoda; Insecta; Lepidoptera; Bombycidae.